AAAUUGAAGAGUUUGAUCAUGGCUCAGAUUGAACGCUGGCGGCAGGCCUAACACAUGCAAGUCGAACGGUAACAGGAAACAGCUUGCUGUUUCGCUGACGAGUGGCGGACGGGUGAGUAAUGUCUGGGAAACUGCCUGAUGGAGGGGGAUAACUACUGGAAACGGUAGCUAAUACCGCAUAAUGUCGCAAGACCAAAGAGGGGGACCUUCGGGCCUCUUACCAUUGGAUGUGCCCAGAUGGGAUUAGCUAGUAGGUGGGGUAACGGCUCACCUAGGCGACGAUCCCUAGCUGGUCUGAGAGGAUGACCAGCCACACUGGAACUGAGACACGGUCCAGACUCCUACGGGAGGCAGCAGUGGGGAAUAUUGCACAAUGGGCGCAAGCCUGAUGCAGCCAUGCCGCGUGUAUGAAGAAGGCCUUCGGGUUGUAAAGUACUUUCAGCGGGGAGGAAGGGAGUAAAGUUAAUACCUUUGCUCAUUGACGUUACCCGCAGAAGAAGCACCGGCUAACUCCGUGCCAGCAGCCGCGGUAAUACGGAGGGUGCAAGCGUUAAUCGGAAUUACUGGGCGUAAAGCGCACGCAGGCGGUUUGUUAAGUCAGAUGUGAAAUCCCCGGGCUCAACCUGGGAACUGCAUCUGAUACUGGCAAGCUUGAGUCUCGUAGAGGGGGGUAGAAUUCCAGGUGUAGCGGUGAAAUGCGUAGAGAUCUGGAGGAAUACCGGUGGCGAAGGCGGCCCCCUGGACGAAGACUGACGCUCAGGUGCGAAAGCGUGGGGAGCAAACAGGAUUAGAUACCCUGGUAGUCCACGCCGUAAACGAUGUCGACUUGGAGGUUGUGCCCUUGAGGCGUGGCUUCCGGAGCUAACGCGUUAAGUCGACCGCCUGGGGAGUACGGCCGCAAGGUUAAAACUCAAAUGAAUUGACGGGGGCCCGCACAAGCGGUGGAGCAUGUGGUUUAAUUCGAUGCAACGCGAAGAACCUUACCUGGUCUUGACAUCCACAGAACCCUGUAGAGAUACGGGGGUGCCUUCGGGAACUGUGAGACAGGUGCUGCAUGGCUGUCGUCAGCUCGUGUUGUGAAAUGUUGGGUUAAGUCCCGCAACGAGCGCAACCCUUAUCCUUUGUUGCCAGCGGUCCGGCCGGGAACUCAAAGGAGACUGCCAGUGAUAAACUGGAGGAAGGUGGGGAUGACGUCAAGUCAUCAUGGCCCUUACGACCAGGGCUACACACGUGCUACAAUGGCGCAUACAAAGAGAAGCGACCUCGCGAGAGCAAGCGGACCUCAUAAAGUGCGUCGUAGUCCGGAUUGGAGUCUGCAACUCGACUCCAUGAAGUCGGAAUCGCUAGUAAUCGUGGAUCAGAAUGCCACGGUGAAUACGUUCCCGGGCCUUGUACACACCGCCCGUCACACCAUGGGAGUGGGUUGCAAAAGAAGUAGGUAGCUUAACCUUCGGGAGGGCGCUUACCACUUUGUGAUUCAUGACUGGGGUGAAGUCGUAACAAGGUAACCGUAGGGGAACCUGCGGUUGGAUCACCUCCUUACCUUAAAGAAGC
Molecule: ribosomal RNA, 1554 nt
Filed under: Escherichia coli
Lineage: Bacteria; Pseudomonadati; Pseudomonadota; Gammaproteobacteria; Enterobacterales; Enterobacteriaceae
Description: bacterial SSU rRNA
Rfam family: Bacterial small subunit ribosomal RNA
Source: RNAcentral